Molecule: unclassified non-coding RNA, 241 nt
Filed under: fungal sp.
Lineage: Eukaryota; Fungi
Description: partial internal transcribed spacer region
Rfam family: Eukaryotic small subunit ribosomal RNA (bases 1-46)
Source: RNAcentral
AAGUCGUAACAAGGUUUCCGUAGGUGAACCUGCGGAAGGAUCAUUAACACGUAUCCAACGUUAAACCCCCCCGUGAACCUUCAUUGUGCUCCCCCAUUCGUUAGGACGCGGCAAUCCCUGGUAAAUCAUCGCCGAAAAGUUUUGAUUCAGGGACCUCUGCAUUGAGUGGGCAGCGCGAGGCAAGUGGCCUGGCAUUCGCCGGCGACCGGUCCAACUGUUAACAAUGGAUAUCUUGGUUCUC